This 253-nucleotide ribosomal RNA is filed under the name uncultured bacterium. RNAcentral describes it as "partial 16S ribosomal RNA". It matches the Rfam family "Bacterial small subunit ribosomal RNA", at positions 524 to 776 of the family's 1533-position model. The record is from RNAcentral.
UACGUAGGGGCCAAGCGUUACCCGGAUUUACUGGGCGUAAAGGGCGUGUAGGUGGCUGCGUAAGUUUGCUGUGAAAUCUUUCGGCUCAACCGGGAGAGGUCAGCGAAUACUGCGCGGCUUGAGGGCAGCAGAGGAAGGUGGAAUUCCCGGUGUAGCGGUGAAAUGCGUAGAUAUCGAGAGGAACACCUGCGGCGAAGGCGGGUUGCUGGGCUGACACUGACGCUGAAGCGCGAAAGCUAGGGGAGCGAACGGG